CGGGUAAACAUCGAGUCUUUGAACGCACGUUGCGCCCGAUGCCAUUAGGUUGAGGGCACGUCUGCCUGGGUGUCACAUAUCGAAGCCUCAUGCCAAUUUCCUUUUGACAGGUAUUGUGCGGGGUGAAUGUUGGCCUCCCGUGAGCUCUUUCGUCUCAUGGUUGGUUGAAAAUUGAGACCUUGGUAGGGUGUGCCAUGAUAGAUGGUGGUUGUGUGACCCACGAGACCAAUCAUGCGCUACUCUAUUGAGUUUGGCCUCUUUUACCCAUAUGCGUUUCUAAACGCUCGUGAUGAGACCUCAGGUCAGGCGGGGCUACCCGCUGAAUUUAAGCAUAUCAAUAAGCGGAGGAAAAGAAACUAACAAGGAUUCCCUUAGUAACGGCGAGCGAACCGGGAUAAGCCCACCAUGAGAAUCGGUCGCCCUCGGCGUUCGAAUUGUAGUUGAAAAAAAACCUCAAAACC
This 461-nucleotide ribosomal RNA is filed under the name Vicia tetrasperma. RNAcentral's name for it is "eukaryotic LSU rRNA". The stretch from base 293 to 461 matches the Rfam family "Eukaryotic large subunit ribosomal RNA", at positions 1 to 171 of the family's 3401-position model. The record is from RNAcentral. Lineage: Eukaryota; Viridiplantae; Streptophyta; Magnoliopsida; Fabales; Fabaceae.